CUUAAAAUAGUUUAUUAAAACAACAGCUUUGGGAGCUUUAGAUAAUAUAGUAUUAUAUUUUUUUAGAA
Molecule: transfer RNA, 68 nt
Filed under: Bilobella aurantiaca
Lineage: Eukaryota; Metazoa; Arthropoda; Collembola; Poduromorpha; Neanuridae
Description: tRNA-Pro
Source: RNAcentral